GAUGAACGCUGGCGGCGUGCUUAACACAUGCAAGUCGAACGAUGAAGCCCAGCUUGCUGGGUGGUUUAGUUGCGAACGGGUGAGUAACACGUGAGUAACCUGCCCUUCACUCUGGGAUAAGCCUGGUCAACUGGGUCUAAUACCUGCUAGGAGCGCCUACCGCCUGGUGGGUGUUGGAAAGAUUUAUCGGGUUUGGAUGGACUCGCGGCCUAUCCGCUUGUUGGUGAGGUAAUGGCUCACGAAGGCGACGACGGGUAGCCGGCCUGAGAGGGGGAACGGCGACAAUGGGACUGAGACACGGACCAGACGCCUACGGGAGGCAGCAGGGGGGAAUAUUGCACAGUGGGCGAAAGCCUGAUGCAGCGACGCCGGGUGAGGGAUGACGGCCUUCGGGUUGUAAACCUCUUUCAGUAGGGAAGAAGCGAAAGUGACGGUACCUGAAGAAGAAGCACCGGCUAACUACGUG
Molecule: ribosomal RNA, 466 nt
Filed under: uncultured bacterium
Lineage: Bacteria
Description: partial 16S ribosomal RNA
Rfam family: Bacterial small subunit ribosomal RNA
Source: RNAcentral